ACGGGAGGCAGCAGUAGGGUAUAUUGCACAAUGGGGGAAACCCUGAUGCAGCGACGCCGCGUGAGUGAUGAAGUAUUUCGGUACGUAAAGCUCUAUCAGCAGGGAAGAUAAUGACGGUACCUGCAUAAGAAGCCCCGGCUAACUACGUGCCAGCAGCCGCGGUAAUACGUAGGGGGCAAGCGUUAUCCGGAUUUACUGGGUGUAAAGGGAGUGUAGGUGGUCGGGCAAGUCUGAUGUGAAAGCCCGCGGCUCAACCGCGGGACUGCAUUGGAAACUGUCCGACUGGAGUGCAGGAGAGGAAAGUGGAAUUCCUAGUGUAGCGGUGAAAUGCGUAGAUAUUAGGAAGAACACCGGUGGCGAAGGCGGCUUGCUGGACUGAGACUGACGCUGAGGCUCGAAAGCGUGGGGAGCAAACAGGAUUAGAUACCCUGGUA
This 434-nucleotide ribosomal RNA is filed under the name uncultured Lachnospiraceae bacterium. Its description in RNAcentral is "partial 16S ribosomal RNA". It matches the Rfam family "Bacterial small subunit ribosomal RNA", at positions 341 to 792 of the family's 1533-position model. The record is from RNAcentral. Lineage: Bacteria; Bacillati; Bacillota; Clostridia; Lachnospirales; Lachnospiraceae.